AGCACAUUAAUAAAAGAAGUAUCACAAGAUAUAAACAAGUUCUCCCUAAUGAGCUUGUAUAUUUGCAAAAAUAGGUCGCAAAAAGAAAUUCACGUUCCAACCUUCACCUUCGUGCCCAGAUUAUUCAUUUCAUUGUCCCAUAACUCGAUCCAUAUCCAAGGACGAUAACAAACUCUCUCCCUCUCUCUCUUUAGGGAAACCAAAACCUAAGCAAGAGAAAAGGCUUCGAUGAAAGAUCCUAAUAUGCAGAGUAGACGAUGCUGGACCUUCUACUAGAGAUUUUUGGUCUAGAUAUUUUAGGAAGAAAUUUAAGAAAUUUAAUUAAGUAGUCCUAUUUAUUUAUUUAGGAGUUUGAGUUGAUUUAGCAUUCAUAAUUAGCAUUAGUUUCAUAUUUUCUUUUUUGGGACAUUAUAAAUUAAAAACAUGUCAUC
This 431-nucleotide unclassified non-coding RNA is filed under the name Hevea brasiliensis (rubber tree). Lineage: Eukaryota; Viridiplantae; Streptophyta; Magnoliopsida; Malpighiales; Euphorbiaceae. The record is from RNAcentral.